GGAACUCGCGGAGGGGCUGCUGGGGGCUUCCAGGAGUGCGCAUGUGCGGACGGCUGGCUGCAGGCGGCCCGGCGGGCUGGAACCCGCCGCUGGACUGGCGCUUUUGUGUCCGGAGGCUUCGGCCUGGCCGCUGUCGCCUAUAAGCUACGAGGAGGAGCUUUACGACUUGGCCGGGCGCAGCAAAGGCCAGACUUUGCGCGAACAGGCGCCACGCGCCAACCGGCCGGCACCUGGCGGGCACCAUCGCACGGUGGCGCAGAAGCUCCUCAAUGGUCAGCGCCAGCUGCAGCAGCGGCCGCGCACUCGCCUCGCCUGAGCUUGGGCGAAUGUGCAUUGGGAAAGUCGACGUUAAUCAACUCAUUAUUCCUCAUAGAUUUGUAUUCUGCAGAGUAUCCAGGUCCUUCUCGCAGAAUUAAAAAGACUGUACAGCUGGCAGCCUGUUAUCGAUUACAUUGAUAGUAAAUUUGAGGACUACCCAAAUGCAGAAUCAUGCACGAACAGACAUCAGAUGCCUGAUAACAGGGUGCAGUGUUGUUUAUCCUUCAUUGCUUCUUCAGGACAUCGACCAUUACAUAGCUGAAGACUCCCACCUUCAAGCAGGAUUGCGUAGUACAUGUUUGUAACUACUUCACAUUGCCUUGUGUUGAGACAAACCAUUGGAUAUUGAGUUUAUGAAGCGUUUGCAUGUAAAAGUGAAUAUCAUCCCACUUAUUGUCAAAGCAGGCACACUCACACCAGAGGAAUGCCAACAGUUUAAAAAACAGGUAACUUUUCAGUUCACACACAACAGACUGAUUUUCCUGUGGAAGACCUCACAGGAGUUCUCUUGAACCAGGAGACUGUUUUGAGCUGAAAUACCUGGAGCCCUCUCUAGCUGUUUGGGCCUUUCAAUUUGAAACCCAGGUUUGGACGAUUCUAAGCCCUAUGGCAGAGACUGUAAUCAUUUUCUCUUCACCCUCAGGGUGGGGACUCACACUCAGGGUUGGGAGUGACUGCUGUCUCUCAAGCCCCCACCAAUUACACCAUGUUCUGGUUGUUAAAAUCCAGUGUAUGCAUGAAAUGUAAUAAAAGUAUCUUUGCAGCACUAAGCAGAGUGUUCCUUGUUGUGAGCAGACAAUUCCUCUUCCUCCUUGGAAAAAAAUCUCUAUGCACUUUCUACCUUUUCACGUUUGUCUCUUCCUCUACACACACCUCAGCUGCUGCUUUAUUUCCACAUGUCUCAUGUAAGGAUCUUUUUUUAUGUGGUAACCUUGGCUUUUCCCACUGUUCAUGCUUCCACGAGUUGGAUGUAGGCAAUAUAGGAGCCCACUGCAAAAGUGUAGGUGAUACUGUCCAGAAAGAAACCUGAAUUUCAGAGGCUUGCUGAUGUGGAAGAAAGCCAAGAUAUUAGACUUGUAGAGCUUCACUCUGCUAGGUAGGUUGAAAUCUGGACACUGUGACUUCCAUAAAAACAAGAUAGUACGUCUGAAAACCAUCUGAAGUUUAAAAUAUACUGGGACUGCCUUACCUUUCUUGUUUUUCAUAAGUUGUAUUCCAAGCUUGAAAAGCUAAAACAAAGGCAAAGAACACUUCCUAUCUGUAACAAAGGUGCUUAAGCAGGAGGGUGGUCUCUCUUCCCGGUUCAACACUCCCUCAGGAACAGUAGGGAUUGGAAAUAGGUGAUUUCUCUGUCGUUUCCUCGGAAGCCACCAAUACCACUCGUCUGUAGCAAAACUCAAGGGUACCUGUGCUCCCCAGUGCCCCAGCCAGUAAAGGAGCUGUGACGCGUUCUCAACGCCACCACUGCCUUGAGGAAAACGAGGGAGAUCUUGCGGGAAAGUGUUUUCAGCUCACUUCUACAGGGAAUGAGCCCUCUCGUUUAUCGCGGACACCGAGGAAAGGCAGCGAUGGGCUUCGGGGCUGCACUCAGCCUCCCGGCCCACCCAGAUCCUCUGGCAGCCUCGGGCACUCACCCACUUCGCUUGUCCUCCGCCUUUGCUGCCACUGCAGCAGGUGCACACCCCACCACGUCCCUGCUUCCCUCUCGAGCUCUUUUCGCAGGUGGUCCUCAUUCUCCUCUCUGUCCGUUGUUUCUUGAGUGUCAGAACUGGAACCACAGCAUCCCCAAGAUGAAAUCCAUGCUGGGUUUUGCGACCACGGUGCUGGCCCAGGCGCCAGCAAGGGGACACAAGUGUGAUCCAAUACUGAGACAAGGACAGCUGUGGCUCUCUAGUCGCUUGAGAUGGGAGUGGCAGGACGCUGGAUGGCCGAAGACUGUCGGGGAAUUAGAGGUCUUCAACAUGCGAGAAGCAGAAACCAAUACGGAUCAACAUUCCCUACGGAUAUUCCAUAAGACUGAUUCAUAUUCAUAUUCCUGUAUUUCCUCAGUCACUCCAAUAUUGCCUGGGAACUUCUGGUAACAGCAAACCCAGGCCCCAUAUGAAAAAAACAGGAAAAGGUUUUGUCACAAUGGAAAAUACAUGCAGAGUAAAAGGGUAAGAAAUUUCUGAAGGAAAUCAGAAACGCCCCAAAUCAAGACUUGAUUCUUAUUACUCAUAAGAGAAGACUGAAGCUUUAACAAUUAAUCUGCUUAGAACUGCAAUGUAAACUGCACGCAGCUAUUACCUGAUUUUUAUUUCCACUACUUUUCUUCCAUCACAAGCCCUAUGCAGAAAAAAAAGUGCCUCAGCAUCACCCAAAGGAAAUGACACAGCAGGAGAGAGAAGGAGGAAGAGAAGAACCAGCUUUACAAGAUCUCUGGAUCAUGUUUCCAUGCCAACUGACGCCAGGAAGAAGCGGUCCAUGAUAUUCCCCAACUUUGGAAUUUUCUGUCAAGGUGAAUUGUGUUGGCCUCCGCAUUUCUCUCUCAUACACAGAGCUCUAUUUCAUGCCAACAAAGGAAAAAAAAAAAAGUUACUCAACACCCAGAAGGCAGAAAAGCGACCUCUCUCUCUCCAUCUGCAGAAGCCAAGCAAGAGUGUGGGCCUCCGUAUGCAUCCUUUCUUUUACUCACUUUCUAAAUGCUGUAACGGCUACCAUCUAUCAGGUGGUCACAAACCAUCUCUAAAGUCAAUCUGAGGUCAACCCACUCAACUUGUGAGGGAUCCACCUAUACUGCCUCUGCACCUGUAAUAUGACUAAGGAGACGGUGGCUGCACACGUAGUUAACACCGACUGUACUGUGACUCCGCCUUUCUGCAGCAGCUCUCCGGCUCUUUAGAAUCCUUUUGAGCCAAGCUGGACGUGAGGCAUAAAGGAGCUCUUUGCAAACGCCAGGGGGAAUUUCUUCAGGGUUAACUUAACUUUCAAUUGGCUUCAUUCUAAGAGAAAUAUGUGGAGUAAACAGGAACUUUUUUUCUCAUCUUUUGCAUUUCAAGCAAAAACUAAUAAUAAAAUUAGAUGUUUCCACUGUCAGGCUCAGUCUCAAAGAUGCCAACAGAUCCCGCUUCUAACUUUUAACACAGGCACGCAGGAAAUCGGGAAAUCCCUGCAGCUCCCUCAGAAGCUACAGUAUCAGCAGUUCCUGAAGCACAAGCCAAAACCCAACAUCGCGUACUCCUCCAAAGAGCUCAGCCUUUCUGUUGAGAGACGGAAAUAGCGGCGAGGUGCUCUGGAAGCCAUGACAGCCUGGCCGAAAUGAACCAGGUCCCCUCCUGGUCGAGCCUACCUCCCUAGGGACAAGAAACGUACCUCUCUUCCCUCAUACCCAGAGGAAGCAACAGAGGGAUGUGGCGCUUAGACUCACUCUACCAUCCAGUCCAUCGAAGUCCUAAUAAUCUUCAAGAUGCAACAGAGCGAGACUCCGUCUCAAAAACAAAACAACUCUAAGGAAGAGAGAGAAUGUACUGGAGGAUAGGAAGUAUCUAGGAGAGCCUUCUUUUUUUUUUUUCUUGUAUUUAAAUUUAAGCCUUCAUUUAUAUAAAAUAAAACGCAUGAAACCUA
RNA transcript from Symphalangus syndactylus (siamang), 3921 nucleotides. It is a transcript of the gene named septin-7-like, with no coding region annotated. NCBI's taxonomy places the organism in Eukaryota, Metazoa, Chordata, Mammalia, Primates, Hylobatidae. The record is from RefSeq and is a predicted model, not a curated record.